RNAcentral lists this small nucleolar RNA (107 nucleotides) under Sorghum bicolor (sorghum). RNAcentral's name for it is "Plant small nucleolar RNA R71". It matches the Rfam family "Plant small nucleolar RNA R71". Rfam says of the family: R71 is a member of the C/D box family of snoRNAs containing the C (UGAUGA) and D (CUGA) box motifs. Multiple nearly identical copies of this snoRNA have been identified in Arabidopsis, and it is thought to function as a 2'-O-ribose methylation guide for 18S ribosomal RNA. The record is from Rfam by way of RNAcentral. Lineage: Eukaryota; Viridiplantae; Streptophyta; Magnoliopsida; Poales; Poaceae.
AUUCCAUGACGGGGACAUUCUAGGAUAUAGUAUUGAAAGCACUCCCGUGCUUCUGCAAUAGACUCGUCAUGUUGUUGUUGAAAGCUUGAAAUCUUCCCACGGGGAGC